This 474-nucleotide ribosomal RNA is filed under the name uncultured bacterium. Its description in RNAcentral is "bacterial SSU rRNA". It matches the Rfam family "Bacterial small subunit ribosomal RNA", at positions 335 to 801 of the family's 1533-position model. The record is from RNAcentral.
ACUCCUACGGGAGGCAGCAGUAGGGAAUCUUCCACAAUGGACGCAAGUCUGAUGGAGCAACGCCGCGUGAGUGAAGAAGGGUUUCGGCUCGUAAAGCUCUGUUGUUAAAGAAGAACGUGGGUGAGAGUAACUGUUCACCCAGUGACGGUAUUUAACCAGAAAGCCACGGCUAACUACGUGCCAGCAGCCGCGGUAAUACGUAGGUGGCAAGCGUUAUCCGGAUUUAUUGGGCGUAAAGCGAGCGCAGGCGGUCUUUUAAGUCUAAUGUGAAAGCCUUCGGCUCAACCGAAGAAGUGCAUUGGAAACUGGGAGACUUGAGUGCAGAAGAGGACAGUGGAACUCCAUGUGUAGCGGUGAAAUGCGUAGAUAUAUGGAAGAACACCAGUGGCGAAGGCGGCUGUCUGGUCUGUAACUGACGCUGAGGCUCGAAAGCAUGGGGUAGCGAACAGGAUUAGAUACCCUGGUAGGAUAGCG